This 66-nucleotide transfer RNA is filed under the name Cyclopsitta diophthalma coxeni. RNAcentral describes it as "tRNA-Phe". Lineage: Eukaryota; Metazoa; Chordata; Aves; Psittaciformes; Psittacidae. RNAcentral also lists the same sequence under 3 other names. The record is from RNAcentral.
GUCCCUGUAGCUUAAAUAAAGCAUGGUACUGAAGAUACCAAGACGGAUGCCACCUUCCCAAGGACA